GACGUAGGGCGCGAGCGUUGUCCGGACUUAUUGGGCGUAAAGAGCUCGUAGGCGGCUCGAUGCGUCGGCUGUGAAAACCCGCAGCUCAACUGUGGGCUUGCAGCUGAUACGGGCGGGCUGGGAUUCGGUAGGGGAGACUGGAAUUCCUGGUGUAGCGGUGAAAUGCGCAGAUAUCAGGAGGAACACCGGUGGCGAAGGCGGGUCUCUGGGCCGAUAUCGACGCUGAGGAGCGAAAGCGUGGGGAGCGAACAGG
This 253-nucleotide ribosomal RNA is filed under the name uncultured bacterium. Its description in RNAcentral is "partial 16S ribosomal RNA". It matches the Rfam family "Bacterial small subunit ribosomal RNA", at positions 524 to 776 of the family's 1533-position model. The record is from RNAcentral.